CAGCAGCCGCGGGAAUACGGAGGGUGCAAGCGUUAAUCGGAAUUACUGGGCGUAAAGCGCACGCAGGCGGUCUGUCAAGUCAGAUGUGAAAUCCCCGGGCUUAACCUGGGAACUGCAUUUGAAACUGGUAGGCUAGAGUCUUGUAGAGGGGGGUAGAAUUCCAGGUGUAGCGGUGAAAUGCGUAGAGAUCUGGAGGAAUACCGGUGGCGAAGGCGGCCCCCUGGACAAAGACUGACGCUCAGGUGCGAAAGCGUGGGGAGCAAACAGGAUUAGAUACCCCAGUAGUCCCUGUCUCUUAUAC
RNAcentral lists this ribosomal RNA (301 nucleotides) under uncultured bacterium. Its description in RNAcentral is "partial 16S ribosomal RNA". It matches the Rfam family "Bacterial small subunit ribosomal RNA", at positions 509 to 807 of the family's 1533-position model. The record is from RNAcentral.